Molecule: ribosomal RNA, 612 nt
Filed under: uncultured bacterium
Lineage: Bacteria
Description: bacterial SSU rRNA
Rfam family: Bacterial small subunit ribosomal RNA
Source: RNAcentral
CCUACGGGAGGCAGCAGUGGGGAAUAUUGGGCAAUGGAGGAAACUCUGACCCAGCGACGCCGCGUGCGGGAUGAAGGCCUUCGGGUUGUAAACCGCUUUCAGCAGGGAAGAAGCGAAAGUGACGGUACCUGCAGAAGAAGCACCGGCUAACUAUGUGCCAGCAGCCGCGGUAAUACAUAGGGUGCAAGCGUUGUCCGGAAUUAUUGGGCGUAAAGAGCUCGUAGGUGGUUCGUCACGUCGGAUGUGAAAAUCUGGGGCUUAACCCCAGACCUGCAUUCGAUACGGGCGAGCUUGAGUAUGGUAGGGGAGUCUGGAAUUCCUGGUGUAGCGGUGGAAUGCGCAGAUAUCAGGAGGAACACCAAUGGCGAAGGCAGGACUCUGGGCCAUUACUGACACUGAGGAGCGAAAGCGUGGGGAGCGAACAGGAUUAGAUACCCUGGUAGUCCACGCCGUAAACGGUGGGCACUAGUUGUGGGGACCUUCCACGGUCUCUGCGACGCNGCUACGCAUAAGUGCCCCGCCGCGGGAGGUACGAUCGCAAGAAUUAAAACUACGAAAGGAAGUUAGUACGGCGUGAGACGUCGCCGACGGACGACCGACGAGGGAGUUAGG